UAAUACAUAGGGGGCGAGCGUUGUCCGGAAUGACUGGGCGUAAAGGGUGCGUAGGUGGUUUAAUAAGUUAGAAGUGUAAUACCCAGGGCUUAACUCGGGUGCUGCUUCUAAAACUGUUAGGCUUGAGUGUAGUAGAGGAAAGCGGAAUUCAAUGUGUAGCGGUGGAAUGCGUAGAUAUAUUGAAGAACAUCAGUGGCGAAGGCGGCUUUCUGGACUAUAACUGACACUGAGGCACGAAAGCGUGGGGAGCAAACAGGAUUAGAUACCCUGGUAGUCCACGCCGUAAACGAUGGAUACUAGAUGCAGGAGGUAUUCACUCCUUUUGUGUCGCAGCUAACGCAAUAAGUAUCCCGCCUGGGGAGUACGAUCGCAAGAUUAAAACUCAAAGGAAUUGACGGGGACCCGCACAAGCAGCGGAGCAUGUGGUUUAAUUCGAAGCAACGCGAAAAACCUUACCAAGACUUGACAUCAAUAUGCCGAUCAUAGAAAUAUGGUUUCUCUUCGGAGCGUAUUGACAGGUGGUGCAUGGUUGUCGUCAGCUCGUGUCGUGAGAUGUUAGGUCAAGUCCUGCAACGAGCGCAACCCUUAUAACUAGUUGCCAAUAUUAAGUUAGGAACUCUAGUUAGACUGCCGUGGUCAACACGGAGGAAGGUGGGGAUGACGUCAAAUCAUCAUGCCCCUUACGUCUUGGGCUACACACGUGCUACAAUGGCUAUUACAAAGAGUUGCAAGCUGGUGACAGUAAGCUAAUCUCAAAAAAAUAGUCUCAGUUCGGAUUGUGGGCUGCAACCCGCCCACAUGAAGUCGGAGUUGCUAGUAAUCCCGAAUCAGAAUGUCGGGGUGAAUGCGUUCCCGGGUCUUGUACACACCGCCCGUCACGCCAUGGGAGUUGGUAGUACCCAAAGUCGGUGAGCUAACCGCAAGGAAGCAGCCGCCUAAGGUAAGAUCAAUGACUGGGGUGAAGUCGUAACAAGGUAGCAGUACCGGAAGGUGC
Molecule: ribosomal RNA, 994 nt
Filed under: Clostridiales bacterium oral clone P4GC_38 P4
Lineage: Bacteria; Bacillati; Bacillota; Clostridia; Eubacteriales
Description: bacterial SSU rRNA
Rfam family: Bacterial small subunit ribosomal RNA
Source: RNAcentral